This 1062-nucleotide ribosomal RNA is filed under the name Photobacterium sp. PM-GO05. RNAcentral describes it as "bacterial SSU rRNA". It matches the Rfam family "Bacterial small subunit ribosomal RNA", at positions 56 to 1112 of the family's 1533-position model. Lineage: Bacteria; Pseudomonadati; Pseudomonadota; Gammaproteobacteria; Vibrionales; Vibrionaceae. The record is from RNAcentral.
UGCAAGUCGAGCGGUAACAGAAAAGAAGCUUGCUUCUUUUGCUGACGAGCGGCGGACGGGUGAGUAAUGCCUGGGAAUAUACCCUGAUGUGGGGGAUAACUAUUGGAAACGAUAGCUAAUACCGCAUAAUCUCUUCGGAGCAAAGAGGGGGACCUUCGGGCCUCUCGCGUCAGGAUUAGCCCAGGUGGGAUUAGCUAGUUGGUGGGGUAAUGGCUCACCAAGGCGACGAUCCCUAGCUGGUCUGAGAGGAUGAUCAGCCACACUGGAACUGAGACACGGUCCAGACUCCUACGGGAGGCAGCAGUGGGGAAUAUUGCACAAUGGGGGAAACCCUGAUGCAGCCAUGCCGCGUGUAUGAAGAAGGCCUUCGGGUUGUAAAGUACUUUCAGUUGUGAGGAAGGCAGUUAAGUUAAUAGCUUGGCUGUUUGACGUUAGCAACAGAAGAAGCACCGGCUAACUCCGUGCCAGCAGCCGCGGUAAUACGGAGGGUGCGAGCGUUAAUCGGAAUUACUGGGCGUAAAGCGCAUGCAGGCGGUCUGUUAAGCAAGAUGUGAAAGCCCGGGGCUCAACCUCGGAACAGCAUUUUGAACUGGCAGACUAGAGUCUUGUAGAGGGGGGUAGAAUUUCAGGUGUAGCGGUGAAAUGCGUAGAGAUCUGAAGGAAUACCGGUGGCGAAGGCGGCCCCCUGGACAAAGACUGACGCUCAGAUGCGAAAGCGUGGGGAGCAAACAGGAUUAGAUACCCUGGUAGUCCACGCCGUAAACGAUGUCUACUUGAAGGUUGUGGCCUUGAGCCGUGGCUUUCGGAGCUAACGCGUUAAGUAGACCGCCUGGGGAGUACGGUCGCAAGAUUAAAACUCAAAUGAAUUGACGGGGGCCCGCACAAGCGGUGGAGCAUGUGGUUUAAUUCGAUGCAACGCGAAGAACCUUACCUACUCUUGACAUCCAGAGAAUUCGCUAGAGAUAGCUUAGUGCUUCGGGAACUCUGAGACAGGUGCUGCAUGCUGUCGUCAGCUCGUGUGUGAAAUGUGGGUAAGUCCGCACGAGCGCACCUAUCUGUUGC